UCAUAUUCUCCAUCUUCUAAACCCUAGCCAUCCUCGAGUUCCGCCAUUUUCACAUGCAAACGGAGCUUCAAAUCUCACCAAAUCUUAACCAUCCCUUCCCCAUACUCCCUCAAGUACUAGGCUAGUAAAACAUUUUUCCCAAAAUCCUCACCCUUGGCUCCAAAUCAUGAAUAUGACGUCAGAGUUGGGGUUCAAGUCAUGUGC
Molecule: long non-coding RNA, 204 nt
Filed under: Nicotiana benthamiana
Lineage: Eukaryota; Viridiplantae; Streptophyta; Magnoliopsida; Solanales; Solanaceae
Description: long non-coding RNA (NBEN_LNC012684)
Source: RNAcentral